This 253-nucleotide ribosomal RNA is filed under the name uncultured bacterium. RNAcentral's name for it is "partial 16S ribosomal RNA". It matches the Rfam family "Bacterial small subunit ribosomal RNA", at positions 524 to 776 of the family's 1533-position model. The record is from RNAcentral.
UACGGGGGGAGCAAGCGUUGUUCGGAUUUACUGGGCGUAAAGGGCGCGUAGGCGGCGCAACAAGUCACUUGUGAAAUCUCCGGGCUUAACUCGGAGCGGCCAAGUGAUACUGUCGUGCUAGAGUGCGGAAGGGGCAACUGGAAUUCUCGGUGUAGCGGUGAAAUGCGUAGAUAUCGAGAGGAACACCCGUGGCGAAGGCGGUUCUCUGGGACGGUACUGACGCUGAGACGCGAAAGCGUGGGGAGCGAACAGG